Molecule: transfer RNA, 92 nt
Filed under: Bordetella hinzii
Lineage: Bacteria; Pseudomonadati; Pseudomonadota; Betaproteobacteria; Burkholderiales; Alcaligenaceae
Also listed under: 1 other name
Description: tRNA-Ser(cag)
Source: RNAcentral
GUGCGCGUAGCCGCGUCGGUCAGUGGCCGCCGCCCAGGUAGGCGGCGAUCACCGCCGGGUCGUGCUUGAGCUGUUCGGCCGGCCCGUGCACC